This 457-nucleotide ribosomal RNA is filed under the name uncultured bacterium. RNAcentral describes it as "bacterial SSU rRNA". It matches the Rfam family "Bacterial small subunit ribosomal RNA", at positions 8 to 507 of the family's 1533-position model. The record is from RNAcentral.
AGAGUUUGAUCCUGGCUCAGGGUGAAUGCUGGCGGCGUGGAUAAGUCAUGCAAGUCAAGGGGGCCCGCAAGGGCAACCGGCAAACGAGGUAGUAACACGUAGGUAGACCCCCCAGAGUCGGGCAUAGCCAGCCGAAAGGUUGGGUAAUUCCCGAUAGUCCCGAAAGGGUAAAGGUUUUUCGCUCUGGGAGUUGCCUGCUCGGUAUCAGCUAGUUGGUGAGGUAAAAGCUCACCGAGGCUAUGACGCCUAGGGGACCUGAGAGGGUGACCCCCACCGAUGGAACUGAGAUACGGUCCAUACACCUACGGGGUGGCCGCAGUCGAGAAUCUUCCGCAAUGGACGCAAGUCUGACGGAGCGACGCCGCGUGGAUGAUGAAACUCUUCGGAGUGUAAAAUCCUUUGCCAGGGAGAAAGUUUAUUGAUAGUACUUGGCGAAUAAGAGGUUGCUAAACUCGUG